CACCUAUAAACGCCAGGGAAUUACGAGCCAAGCUUAAAACCCAAAGGACUUGACGGUGUCCCAACCAACUAGAGGAGCCUGUCCUAUAAUCGAUGAUCCACGUUUCACCUGACCCCCCCUUGCCUUUCAGCCUGUAUACCUCCGUCGUAAAUCCGCCAUAUGAAUGUUUUCAGCGGAUCCAAUGACCUCCCCGUAAAUACGUCAGGUCAAGGUGCAGCCCAUGGAGGGAGGAAGUGAUGGGCUACAAUUUCUAGUAUAGAACA
Molecule: ribosomal RNA, 263 nt
Filed under: Phrynoderma hexadactylum (Indian five-fingered frog)
Lineage: Eukaryota; Metazoa; Chordata; Amphibia; Anura; Dicroglossidae
Description: partial 12S ribosomal RNA
Rfam family: Bacterial small subunit ribosomal RNA
Source: RNAcentral